UCCCUCUCAUUAUGUUACUUAUCAAAUACUUCUAGUUGGGGAGUGCUUAAUUAGAUAACUGUAACUGCAUCUGUCUGACUAUUAUUGCUUUAAAAAUGACUGGAAAAUAUUAGAGGUUUUACAGCUGGAAUUUUUGGGGUGGUUCUAACUCUUAUUUUGUAGGCAUCCUUAUAUGGCAGUGGUUUAAAUUUUCAGUCAAACAUGGGCACUGUACUGCCUGAUUCAGUUCUAUACAGUUACAAGGAUGAAUUGGAGUCCUGCAACCCAAGGGUUAUAGUUUAAGUCAAGGGUCCAAGAUUUCAUCAUUUGUAUAGAGGGUCAUCUGAUUGAGCUUGUGCAUUGACUCAGAAGAAUUGUGAUGCUGGUGGUGAUAUAUUGGCGAUUGGCAUCACACAGUUAAUUAGACUCUUGGGUAUGGAGCUUGUACUGAGAUGUUUUUUAUUACUGAAUUAUGUAAAAUUCUGGUGUUUUUUAUUGUUUAAUUAGAUGAUAUGCUAGCAAGUUUGUGUUAACUAAUUUAUCAAAAAGUUGUGUUAACUUUGUUA
This is a long non-coding RNA of Cucumis melo (muskmelon), 545 nucleotides long. RefSeq lists it as uncharacterized. Lineage: Eukaryota; Viridiplantae; Streptophyta; Magnoliopsida; Cucurbitales; Cucurbitaceae. The transcript is spliced from 3 exons. The record is from RefSeq and is a predicted model, not a curated record.